AGUAAUUUGCUUGGGUCCUCUUCUAAUGUGUGGCAGGUUUGUUUUUUCGCUCUUUGCAAUUAAAUCUUGCCAUUGCUCACUCUUUGGGUCCACACUGCUUUUAUGAGCUGUAACACUCACCGCGAAGGUCUGCAGCCUCGCUGCUGAAGCCAGCGAGACCACGAACCCACCGGGAGGAACGAACAACUACAGCUGCGCCGCCUUAAGAGCUGUAACACCGCGAAGGUCUGCAGCUUCACUUCUGAGCCAGCGAGACCACGAACCCACUAGAAGGAAGAAACUCCGGACAUGCCCCCUUUAAGAACUGUUAACACUCAGCGCGAGGGUCCGAGGCUUCUUUCUUGAAGUCAGUGAGACCAAGAACCCACCAAUUCUGGACACAGUGACAAGGAAAAGACAGCGGUAAUUGCCACAUUGAGUGAACCAAGUUUCUAAAUGGCUGGCAUUUGCAUAUUAAAGGUUGCCUGCCCGGCCCUUCAAGCCACCUUUUCUGUUAGAAAAGAGAUGGUUCGGGGCUGUUUUUUUAUUACAGGAAAAUUUCCUCCGAGAACCUUUACCCUGAGUAGCUGCCUGGAAAUUAUUUCUUAAGAAC
This 592-nucleotide long non-coding RNA is filed under the name Homo sapiens (human). Its description in RNAcentral is "non-protein coding lnc-MAP2K4-3:1". Lineage: Eukaryota; Metazoa; Chordata; Mammalia; Primates; Hominidae. The record is from RNAcentral.